GAAACCAUGAUAGCUGCUGGGCCACUCAGCUCUCGUGACAGCAGUGGGGUCCCCGCACUGGCAGGGGUACCAAGCUCAGAUCCUGGGAGCACGAUGUUAGAUCUCCCCGUCCACGUCCACUGGAUGACCUCGAAGAUGAGAAUCUGGAUCGACUCAUCAGAAAUUGUGCCCAACCAGAAUCCUGGGGAGCCUGAAUGCAGCGGACCUACUUUGAGAAGCAGCGGGCUAGGCACAGUAGGGCUGGGGUAAGUGCCCCCUGCCCCACCCAGGACCCCUCCACCCCCAAGAUGUGAGCUGGUGACUCACUGGAGCAUCGGCCAGAUGGGAGGCACCCUGGCAGGGGAAGCUGUGCACCCCGAAUCUCAGUCAAGGUGACCCCAGACACCCCAAGCUGGAGUGGAGCUGGCCUCCCUCUCACCAUCUUCCUCUCUCCUCUUCCGUGUCCCUUGGGUGCUCCCUCACCCUAAACAACUCACUUUGGUCCUCCUCCGCCCCAGCCAAUGAUCUGUUCUCUGUCACUCUGAUGUUGCCUUUUCCAAAGUGUCACAUAAAUAGAAUCACAAGGAUGCAGCCUUUUGGGACUGGCUUUCACUCAGCACCAUGUCUCUGAGGUCCAUUGUGUUGUGUAUCACUGUCACUCUGGGUUCCUCCCUGGCAUGGUGGGCCUCAGUGCAUGCAUCCACUCCCCAGCUGGUGGGCUUUGGCGAUGAUGAAUAAAGUUGCUCUAAACACUC
This is a long non-coding RNA of Myotis davidii, 734 nucleotides long. RefSeq lists it as uncharacterized. NCBI's taxonomy places the organism in Eukaryota, Metazoa, Chordata, Mammalia, Chiroptera, Vespertilionidae. The transcript has 2 exons. The record is from RefSeq and is a predicted model, not a curated record.